This 408-nucleotide ribosomal RNA is filed under the name uncultured soil bacterium. Its description in RNAcentral is "bacterial SSU rRNA". It matches the Rfam family "Bacterial small subunit ribosomal RNA", at positions 509 to 914 of the family's 1533-position model. The record is from RNAcentral.
CAGCCGCCGCGGUAAUACGGAGGGGGCUAGCGUUGUUCGGAAUUACUGGGCGUAAAGGGCGCGUAGGCGGCGCGAUAAGUUGGGCGUGAAAGGCCCGGGCUCAACCCGGGGACUGCGCUUGAUACUGUCGCGCUGUGAGUCCGGGAGAGGAUGGCGGAAUUCCCAGUGUAGAGGUGAAAUUCGUAGAUAUGGGGAGGAACACCGGUGGCGAAGGCGGCCAUCUGGACGGAUACUGACGCUGAGACGCGAAAGCGUGGGGAGCAAACAGGAUUAGAUACCCUGGUAGUCCACGCCGUAAACGAUGAGAACUAGGUGUCGUGGGUGUUGACCCCCGCGGUGCCGUAGCCAACGCAUUAAGUUCUCCGCCUGGGAAGUACGGCCGCAAGGCUAAAACUCAAAUGAAUUGAC